AUGCAUACAUUGUGCAUGAAUAGAGGGGGGAAGUUUAAGAGAAAUGGAAAGAAAAAUAUAGCUUAUUUCUUUGGAGUGGGUGUCUGGAAUAUACAAAGAAUUUGGAACAAAGCGAUGGAGCAAAUUGCUAAAGGUCUAGAGGUAGAUGUUUCAAGUAAGAGGAAAGGAAACUACGGAAGAAAGCCAAAAGACAUCAAUCUGGAGGAAAUCCCUACCAUCCCACUAAACAGAAAGUUUACUAUCAGGUCAUUAGUUUGGCAACUCAGAUGCAGCUCUACCACACUGCAUAGAAAGUUCAUGCUGAAGUUGAUUAAAAGGCAUACAAACUGUAUGAAGCCAAUUCUGAAGUAA
Molecule: ribosomal RNA, 351 nt
Filed under: Triticum aestivum (bread wheat)
Lineage: Eukaryota; Viridiplantae; Streptophyta; Magnoliopsida; Poales; Poaceae
Description: partial small subunit ribosomal RNA
Source: RNAcentral